Small nuclear RNA from Papaver somniferum (opium poppy), 104 nucleotides. The record is from RefSeq and is a predicted model, not a curated record. Lineage: Eukaryota; Viridiplantae; Streptophyta; Magnoliopsida; Ranunculales; Papaveraceae.
GUCCGCUUCAAGGACAAUCGAUAAAAUAUGAAUGAUGCAGAGAAGAUUAGCAUGAUCUCUGUGCAAGGAUAACAUGCACCAAUGCGAAAAUGGUCCAAACUUUU